GAUUCCCUUAGUAGCGGCGAGCGAAGUGGGAGUAGCCUUGUAUGAUUUAGCAGGAAAGAUAGUAGAGCAACUUGGGAAGGUUGGCCAUAGACGGUGAUAGCCCGGUAUAUUAAAUUUUUCUUGUGGAACUAGGCAUACGAACAAGUAGGGCGGGACACGAGAAAUCCUGUUUGAAGAUGGGGGGACCAUCCUCCAAGGCUAAAUACUCCUGACUGACCGAUAGUGAACCAGUACCGUGAGGGAAAGGUGAAAAGCACCCCGACGAGGGGAGUGAAACAGACCCUGAAACCGGAUGCCUACAAGCAGUCGGAGGGCGCAAGCCUGACGGCGUACCUUUUGUAUAAUGGGUCAGCGACUUAUAUUCUGUAGCAAGGUUAACCGAAUAGGGGAGCCGUAGGGAAACCGAGUCUUAAUAGGGCGUUUAGUUGCAGGCAAUAGACCCGAAACCGGGCGAUCUAUCCAUGGCCAGGCUGAAGGUUAGGUAACACUGACUG
Molecule: ribosomal RNA, 494 nt
Filed under: Cyclophora tenuis
Lineage: Eukaryota; Bacillariophyta; Fragilariophyceae; Cyclophorales; Cyclophoraceae
Description: partial Bacterial large subunit ribosomal RNA
Rfam family: Bacterial large subunit ribosomal RNA
Source: RNAcentral